Portunus trituberculatus (swimming crab) is the source of this 342-nucleotide long non-coding RNA. RefSeq lists it as uncharacterized. The transcript is spliced from 3 exons. Lineage: Eukaryota; Metazoa; Arthropoda; Malacostraca; Decapoda; Portunidae. The record is from RefSeq and is a predicted model, not a curated record.
CGAAGAAGAAAGGAAAAAUGGAAGUGGAAGAAGAGGAGGAGCCAAGCCACAAUAUUUAGCUGAGGUGGGCCUCCGGUGUGGCCAGGCAGUUCAGCCUUGCCGUCAACCCUCCAUGUGAUGAGUCCGCAGAAAAAGACACGCUGAUUUAUUUGAAGUCAAGGACGGAGCCUUGAAAAACACCACAGUUUUGUCCACCGCCAUCACCACCUUCUCCCAGAUCAAGGACAAAGUGUAUUACAGACUCACACAUAAGGAAGAUAUGCGUGUGAUUGUGUUUGGGUGUGUUUGGAUGCAUUUGGGUGUGUUUUGGGUCUGUUUGGGUGUGUUUUGAGGUGUUUUAGU